UCUAGUUUACUAGGCAUGGCAAACGGGAGAGUAACACAUUGAUAACCUACCUCGAAGACGGGGAUAACCUUGCGAAAGCGAGAAUAAUACCCGAUAGUAUGAAACGACAUGAGUCGUUUCAUUAAAGCUACGACGCUUCGAGAGGGGUCUAUGGCCUAUCAGCUUGUUGGUGAGGUAAUGGCUCACCAAGGCAUCGACGGGUAUCGGGCGCGAGAGCGUGACCCGACUCACUGGGACUGAGAAACUACCCAGACUCCUACGGGAGGCUGCAGUCAAGAAUCUUCCUCAAUGGACGAAAGUCUGAAGGAGCGACGCCGCGUGUAUGAAGAAGCCUUUCGGGGUGUAAAGUACUUUUAACUGUGACGAAACAAUGACGGUAGCAGUUGAAUAAGGGGCUGCUAACCUCGUGCCAGCAGCAGCGGUAAUACGAGGGCCCCAAGCAUUAUCCGGAUUUAUUGGGCGUAAAGCGUCCGUAGGUGGUUUAUCGCAUCUCCUGUUAAAUCUCGAGGCUCAACCUCGAGUCCGCGGGAGAGAUGGACAAACUAGAGAUUGGAAGAGGCAAACGGAAUUGCUGGUGUAGGGGUUAAAUCCAUUAAUAUCAGCAAGAACACCAAAUGCGAAGGCAGUUUGCUAGGACAAAUCUGACACUCAGUGGACGAAAGCGUGGGGAGCGAAUGGGAUUAGAUACCCCAGUAGUCCACGCCGUAAACGAUGGAUACUAAGCAUUGGAAGUAUCGACCCUUCCAGUGCUGCUAAUUUAAGUUAACACGUUAAGUAUCCCGCCUGGGGAGUACGGCCGCAAGGCUAAAACUCAAAGGAAUAGACGGGGACCCGCACAAGCGGUGGAGCAUGUGGUUUAAU
Molecule: ribosomal RNA, 861 nt
Filed under: uncultured bacterium
Lineage: Bacteria
Description: bacterial SSU rRNA
Rfam family: Bacterial small subunit ribosomal RNA
Source: RNAcentral